Molecule: ribosomal RNA, 305 nt
Filed under: uncultured bacterium
Lineage: Bacteria
Description: bacterial SSU rRNA
Rfam family: Bacterial small subunit ribosomal RNA
Source: RNAcentral
UGAGCCUACGGGGCGCAGCAGUGAGGAAUAUUGGUCAAUGGGCGGGAGCCUGAACCAGCCAAGUCGCGUGAGGGAAGACGGUCCUAUGGAUUGUAAACCUCUUUAGGCGGGGAGCAAUGCCGGGCACGCGUGCCCGGAGGGAGAGUACCCGCAGAAUAAGCAUCGGCUAACUCCGUGCCAGCAGCCGCGGUAAUACGGAGGAUGCGAGCGUUAUCCGGAUUUAUUGGGUUUAAAGGGUGCGUAGGCGGUCCGGAAAGUCAGCGGUAAAAGCCCGGGGCUCAACCCCGGCGAGCCGUUGAAACUGG